AGCUCCAAUAGCGUAUAUUUAAGUUGCUGCAGUUAAAAAGCUCGUAGUUGGAUUUCGGGUGGGGCCUGCCGGUCCGCCGUUUCGGUGUGCACUGGCCGGGCCCACCUUGCUGCCGGGGACGUGUUCCUGGGCUUCACUGUCCGGGACACGGAGUCGGCGAGGUUACUUUGAGUAAAUUAGAGUGUUCAAAGCAGGCCUACGCUCUGAAUACAUUAGCAUGGAAUAACACGAUAGGACUCUGGCCUAUCUUGUUGGUCUGUAGGACCGGAGUAAUGAUUAAGAGGGACAGUCGGGGGCAUUCGUAUUUCAUUGUCAGAGGUGAAAUUCUUGGAUUUAUGAAAGACGAACUUCUGCGAAAGCAUUUGCCAAGGAUG
RNAcentral lists this ribosomal RNA (374 nucleotides) under uncultured eukaryote. Its description in RNAcentral is "SSU rRNA". It matches the Rfam family "Eukaryotic small subunit ribosomal RNA", at positions 587 to 966 of the family's 1831-position model. The record is from RNAcentral.